UACAGAGGUCCCAAGCGUUGUUCGGAUUCAUUGGGCGUAAAGGGUGCGUAGGCGGCGCGGUAAGUCGGGUGUGAAAUCUCGGAGCUUAACUCCGAAACUGCAUUCCAUACUGCGGUGCUUGAGGACUGGAGAGGAGACUGGAAUUUACGGUGUAGCAGUGAAAUGCGUAGAGAUCGUAAGGAAGACCAGUGGCGAAGGCGGGUCUCUGGACAGUUCCUGACACUGAGGCACGAAGGCCAGGGGAGCAAACGGG
Molecule: ribosomal RNA, 253 nt
Filed under: uncultured bacterium
Lineage: Bacteria
Description: partial 16S ribosomal RNA
Rfam family: Bacterial small subunit ribosomal RNA
Source: RNAcentral